Molecule: ribosomal RNA, 519 nt
Filed under: uncultured bacterium
Lineage: Bacteria
Description: bacterial SSU rRNA
Rfam family: Bacterial small subunit ribosomal RNA
Source: RNAcentral
GACGAACGCUGGCGGCGUGCCUAAUACAUGCAAGUCGAGCGGAGUUGAUGAGGUGCUUGCACCUCUGAUGCUUAGCGGCGGACGGGUGAGUAACACGUAGGUAACCUGCCUGUAAGACUGGGAUAACAUUCGGAAACGAAUGCUAAUACCGGAUACGCGAUUUUCUCGCAUGGGAGAAUCGGGAAAGACGGAGCAAUCUGUCACUUACAGAUGGACCUGCGGCGCAUUAGCUAGUUGGUGGGGUAACGGCUCACCAAGGCGACGAUGCGUAGCCGACCUGAGAGGGUGAUCGGCCACACUGGGACUGAGACACGGCCCAGACUCCUACGGGAGGCAGCAGUAGGGAAUCUUCCGCAAUGGACGAAAGUCUGACGGAGCAACGCCGCGUGAGUGAUGAAGGCUUUCGGGUCGUAAAGCUCUGUUGCCAGGGAAGAACACUUAGGAGAGUAACUGCUCUUAAGGUGACGGUACCUGAGAAGAAAGCCCCGGCUAACUACGUGCCAGCAGCCGCAGUAACAC